RNAcentral lists this ribosomal RNA (367 nucleotides) under uncultured bacterium. RNAcentral describes it as "bacterial SSU rRNA". It matches the Rfam family "Bacterial small subunit ribosomal RNA", at positions 29 to 426 of the family's 1533-position model. The record is from RNAcentral.
AACGAACGCUGGCGGCAGGCUUAACACAUGCAAGUCGAACGCCCCGCAAGGGGAGUGGCAGACGGGUGAGUAACACGUGGGAACGUACCCUUUACUACGGAAUAACGCAGGGAAACUUGUGCUAAUACCGUAUGUGCCCUUCGGGGGAAAGAUUUAUCGGUAAAGGAUCGGCCCGCGUUGGAUUAGCUAGUUGGUGGGGUAAAGGCCUACCAAGGCGACGAUCCAUAGCUGGUCUGAGAGGAUGAUCAGCCACAUUGGGACUGAGACACGGCCCAGACUCCUACGGGAGGCAGCAGUGGGGAAUAUUGGACAAUGGGGGCAACCCUGAUCCAGCAAUGCCGCGUGAGUGAUGAAGGCCUUCGGUUGU